Molecule: ribosomal RNA, 253 nt
Filed under: uncultured bacterium
Lineage: Bacteria
Description: partial 16S ribosomal RNA
Rfam family: Bacterial small subunit ribosomal RNA
Source: RNAcentral
UACGAAGGGGGCUAGCGUUGCUCGGAAUUACUGGGCGUAAAGCGCACGUAGGCGGCUCUUUAAGUCGGAGGUGAAAUCCUGGAGCUCAACUCCAGAACUGCCUUCGAUACUGUAGAGCUUGAGUUCGGGAGAGGUGAGUGGAACUGCGAGUGUAGAGGUGAAAUUCGUAGAUAUUCGCAAGAACACCAGUGGCGAAGGCGGCUCACUGGCCCGAUACUGACGCUGAGACGCGAAAGCGUGGGGAGCGAACAGG